This 2007-nucleotide long non-coding RNA is filed under the name Cricetulus griseus (Chinese hamster). Its description in RNAcentral is "lncRNA (ENSCGRG00015042036.1)". Lineage: Eukaryota; Metazoa; Chordata; Mammalia; Rodentia; Cricetidae. The record is from RNAcentral.
AUUAAUAAAGUGAUAUCAACUCAGUUUUAUUUAAGAGACAAACAAUGUAGGUAAACAGUAGCAUGCGAAUAAGAGCACCUCUCUAUCAGGGAACAGAAAAUUUAAAUCAGCAUACUAGGCUACAUAUCCAAUGUACAGUUCUGUUCAAAGAACGGCAUCAUGGCUAGAGGAAGAGGAAGGGAAGGCUGUGGACAGUGUGCGCAGUUCUGAGAGACUCCCCAUCCCCGGGGGAUGAGAAUCAGAUGGGCAGCAGAGAAGGCUGGCUGUGGGCCCUUCUCCCCCUGGACAGGAAUGUAGAUUGGGAACCUAUGUCUGAGUACAGCAUGCACCCAAAACCUAAGCAAAGUACACAAUAAAAUUAAAGAGUCGCAAAAACCCUCUUGUGAUUAACACAAAGAUGCCGAGAACUGAUGACAAUAUGAACCGUGAGCUACCAAAGCUGUUUUUAAAAUCAAACACGAGUAAUUCCUGCACAUGGACGCUAGACAAGGCAACUCUGCAAUGUGUAACUCAGACCUAGCAUGGACACACCUGAGACAAAGCAAAGGGAGCUAGAAGCAGCCAGGUGUCUCCCCCAAGCACAUCCUCAGCUCUUCUAGGACCACAAAGCUCGACUCUCACACACUAUCUGGCAGCAGCUCAGAGCCAGCCGCCCUGUUCAGCCCUCUCUAUAGCUGACAAAAACCAAAGCGCCUUUAGUCCCUUCUGACACCAGAUUACAGGAACAGCUCCCUCCCCCAUCUGCUGGGAGCGCUCUCAUCCCUGCAGAUGAACUGGCCUGUCUUGCUCAACUACAGGUGGGCUCCCUGUGUUAGAAAUCUAAGAACAUACUAACUAUAUGCCGCUCUGAAACAAACAAACAAACAAACAAACAAAACUGGAGUCAGAAAUUGGUGGUUUAUUUAAGGUCAGCCUGUGGAGAAUACAGGAGACUUUGCAUCCCAGUUGCCAUAUUCGUACCAUAGCUCAGCGAUGCAAAGAACUUUUACCAGACACGAAGGGGUUAUGGUGUGGCUGUGGGUGGAACUUUACCCAGGACUUCACGCCUCCAUCGGUCCAGGACCUCCCUGACUUCCGAGCGCCACCUCCUGGGCGGCACCGGUAUCUUCUUUCUAGGCAAACCAUUCUGGGAGUCCGUUAGCCUCACUGGAAGCAGGGGCAUUGUAGAGAUCUAGUUAAAAGAAUUAACCAGCCGGGCCAGUGGGAGUGCACGCCUUUAAUCCCACCACUCGGGAGGCAGACGAAGGUGGAGCUCUUUGAGUUCGAGGCCAGCCUGGUCUUCAGAGCGAGUGCCAGGACUGCCAAAGCUGUUAUAAAAUGAAAAGCAAAAACAAUUAAAAAAAAAAAAAGAAUCUUCCAGCACCAAAUAAAGGACAUUUUGCAAGUAUUUGCUUCCUUGGUCUUUAGCAAGUACUUCUGUGCACAGCGUCUCACUCAUCCAUACAGAGACAAAGUCUUGUUAUGUACCUCAGUCUGGCCUGGAAUAUUCUGUUACUGACAUUGACCUUAAACGUGAGGUCUCGCUGCCAUAGCUCCCAGACUGCUGGAAUUACAGGUGUGUAUCAACACAGCCCACCAGAGUAAAUCUACAAGUAUUAAAAUUAUGAAGUGAUGUUUGCAUCAUGUCUGAGGAGUGGCCCGAGGAGAUGGCCCAGUUGGCAAAAUUCUGCUCCACAGGCAUGAGGACCCGAGUUCAAUCCGCAGAAUCCACAUUUAAGAAUAAAAAGUAACUCUCAGUGAUGGGCACCUGUGAUCCCAGCCUGGGCAGGUAGAGACAGUGCAGAGAGAGCUCCUGUCUCAAAAAAAUAAGGGGGCUAGAGAGAUGGCUCAGAGGUUAAGAGCACCGGCUGCUCUUCCAGAGGUCCUGAGUUCAAUUCCCAGCAACCACAUGGUGGCUCUCAACCAUCCGUUAUGAGAUCUGGUGCUCUCUUCUGGCCUGCAGAUAUACAUGGAAGCAGAAUGUUGUAUACAUAAUAAAUAAAUAAAAUAUUUAAAAAAACUUUCUAU